This 114-nucleotide small RNA is filed under the name Salmonella enterica. RNAcentral's name for it is "partial RtT sRNA". It matches the Rfam family "RtT RNA", at positions 1 to 113 of the family's 130-position model. From Rfam's summary of the family: This family represents a bacterial cis-regulatory element known as RtT RNA. The exact function of RtT is unknown although it is thought that it may be involved in changing the cellular response in relation to amino acid starvation. Lineage: Bacteria; Pseudomonadati; Pseudomonadota; Gammaproteobacteria; Enterobacterales; Enterobacteriaceae. RNAcentral also lists the same sequence under 2 other names. The record is from RNAcentral.
AUAUCUCUCUGUACGGGAAGGAUGAGAAGCUUCGACCAAGGUUCGAUUCGAGCGCAGCGAGAAAGCGUUGCCGCAGGCAACGACCCGAAGGGCGAAGCGCGCAGCGCUGAGUCA